ACUUGGCAGAUGAGGUUGAUGGUUGGACUUGGUGAUCUAGGACUUCCCCAACCUAUGUGAUUCUGUGAUUCUAAGUUCACUCUUCUACCUGUACCUUUGCAGUGCUAAUAUGUUUAGGAGGUGUUCAAAUUUGUAUCAGUGCCAUAUGAUCAGACAUCAUUCUGUUCAAUUAUUUGGAAUCAGUAGGAAAUCUGUACAGCUCAUGCCAUUUCCAACAGUCUUUUAAAUAUAUUUUUAUGAGGGCUACACCAAAAGUAAGGCCUCCUGUUUUAUUACAUUAACUCACAGUGUGAGAGGUAGUGGUACAGCAGCUGAGGGUGAAUGUUCCCACCAGCAUUCCAUUCCAUUUUGCUACCAUGUGACAUAUGGCAGCAGAGGGACAGUCUGACAGAAUGGCAUCUGCCGUGGAAGUGCAUAUGAAGCAAAGGGGUGUAACUGUAUCCCUCCAGGCAGAAAAAAUGGCACCCAUUGACAGUCAUCUAUGCUUGCUAAAAAUGGAGACCAAACAGUGGAUGUUAGCUCAGUGAAAUAUGGAUUGCAUGGUCAACAUUUUCCUAGCAACAGUGCUGCAGCUGUAAAACUGGGUCAUCUCCACUGGUGCAGAUUUUUAUGAGGGUGGCAUGCAGUCUCCUGUUCAUUGCUGGGAAAAAGGCAUAACUGAUGGUGGGGACAAUGUUGAAAAAUAACAUUUUGUAGCUGGUAAUUUUCUCUAUGAAAUAGUAUUGGUGUAGUCUUUGUACCUGUUGUAGUUUCAACGGAAAUACAUAGGAGACAUUACUUUUGGAGCAACAGGUGCAUUGCGAAGCUGCAAGAAGUUGAUAAAAGACGUUCCUUUUUUUUGUCUGAAAAUAUCAUGAUUAGAUACAUGUUAUAUGUAUGUAUGUGGUUUUUUUUCCCUCUAGGUAUUGUAUGUAAGAGGAAUGCUAUUUCAAAUGUUGGAAAGAAUGAGGAAGAUCACGUAUGUCAAAAAAUACAAGGAUAUCACUCCUUCUCAGAUGUUUAUGUCCAGCACAUGAUGGGUUACCACAAAGAUUCUGAUGAAAAAAAGAAUGGAGGAAGGAAAAUGAGGGACUACCUUCAGAGUUAAAACCAAGAAGGAAGCAUACAAGGACCAGAGUCAAUCACUUCUGUAGUAGAGUGUCUUGUCCUACAAGAGGACCCAUUCCUUUCAGUGGGAUUAUAUAUAGUCAGCAGAACAACAACAGCAGAAUCUGUCACCAAGAAUUCAAUGUAUGAGAUCUAAAAGUAAGUGCACUCCUAAAAGUAAAUGAUUUAUCUUCUACAGGUUUGAUUCCCUUGGUUCAAGAAUAAGAUGCCUCUUUUUGACAAGACAUUCUAUCUAACAGGAAAAAAAAUACAAAUAAUGCAAGCAGUUAAUUUGUUUGGGGGGGGGGGGAGGGUGCGGAAGAACAUAAAAGAUUAUUUACCAGCAAAAACAGCAGUAGAAAAGUGCAAAUAGUUGGUCUAGAUCACUUCUCGAAGACAACGUUUUCCCUCUGAGGGAAGAGAAUUUGC
RNAcentral lists this long non-coding RNA (1515 nucleotides) under Numida meleagris (helmeted guineafowl). Its description in RNAcentral is "lncRNA (ENSNMEG00000000593.1)". Lineage: Eukaryota; Metazoa; Chordata; Aves; Galliformes; Numididae. The record is from RNAcentral.